CAGUAGCCGCGGUAAUACGAAGGGUGCAAGCGUUAAUCGGAAUUACUGGGCGUAAAGCGUGCGUAGGCGGUUUGUUAAGUCUGUUGUGAAAUCCCCGGGCUCAACCUGGGAAUGGCAAUGGAUACUGGCAAGCUAGAGUGAGUCAGAGGAUGGUGGAAUUCCCGGUGUAGCGGUGAAAUGCGUAGAGAUCGGGAGGAACAUCAGUGGCGAAGGCGGCCAUCUGGGACAACACUGACGCUGAGGCACGAAAGCGUGGGGAGCAAACAGGAUUAGAUACCCCGGUAGUCCCUGUUCUUAUACC
Molecule: ribosomal RNA, 301 nt
Filed under: uncultured bacterium
Lineage: Bacteria
Description: partial 16S ribosomal RNA
Rfam family: Bacterial small subunit ribosomal RNA
Source: RNAcentral